This 490-nucleotide ribosomal RNA is filed under the name uncultured bacterium. RNAcentral's name for it is "partial 16S ribosomal RNA". It matches the Rfam family "Bacterial small subunit ribosomal RNA", at positions 30 to 507 of the family's 1533-position model. The record is from RNAcentral.
AUUGAACGCUGGCGGCAGGCCUAACACAUGCAAGUCGAACGGUAACAGGAAGCAGCUUGCUGCUUUGCUGACGAGUGGCGGGCGGGUGAGUAAUGUCUGGGAAACUGCCUGAUGGAGGGGGAUAACUACUGGAAACGGUAGCUAAUACCGCAUAACGUCGCAAGACCAAAGAGGGGGACCUUCGGGCCUCUUGCCAUCGGAUGUGCCCAGAUGGGAUUAGCUAGUAGGUGGGGUAACGGCUCACCUAGGCGACGAUCCCUAGCUGGUCUGAGAGGAUGACCAGCCACACUGGAACUGAGACACGGUCCAGACUCCUACGGGAGGCAGCAGUGGGGAAUAUUGCACAAUGGGCGCAAGCCUGAUGCAGCCAUGCCGCGUGUAUGAAGAAGGCCUUCGGGUUGUAAAGUACUUUCAGCGGGGAGGAAGGGAGUAAAGUUAAUACCUUUGCUCAUUGACGUUACCCGCAGAAGAAGCACCGGCUAACUCCGUG